CCAAACCAAAUAACAUCAAAGAGCAUAAAACCAAUUCUUUGAAGAUAUAUAAAAAUAAUCAAGCAGCUCUACGCACAUUGAAAGCCCUUUGGGACAUUCUUUCCACAGACAUUAAGCAACAAGCUCAAAGAAACUGGCACAUUAAGGUUGAUACCCAAUACAUUUGCUUUAAUGGCGGUGCAAAGGCAAACUGCAGCCUCAAGAUCGACAAGGUCCCCAAGGAGGCUGCAGCAUGGAGUGGUUGCUGGUGUACCGACGACUAGGUGAACCAAGUCAUUGAGCACGUUUGCACACACACCUAGCUUAAGUGUGUCUUUAGGACAUGUGGCUUUGUGGUGGUGAUGUUUAUUUGACCUAGGGGCCUUUGGUGGUGGUGAGCAAGAGGUUGAUGUUACAAGAGUAAAGAAGAGAAGAUUGACGGUGAUGAGGAGGAAAGCAGUUGUUGCCAAUCCCCUUGAAGCCAUUUUGAAAUGCUUUGAGGAUGCGAAGGGAAAACUAGCUCAAGAAAUGGUGGUUUGUUUUGGGGUAUGGAACUAGUGAAGUGAGUUCCUGAAUUUAUAGAUACAUAUUAUGAAUAGUGUUAUGUAGCUUUUUCAAUGCCAAGACCUUAGCCUAACCAUGCCCAUUCUUUUACUACCUUCAACCUUGUUCUUUUCAUAUUAUAUUGGCCUAUUUUUAAUAAAUGGAUCUGCAAUCCAUUUUAUAUUUAUUGUAUGACACAAAAAUAAAAUCUUUAUAUGAUAUAAAUGAGAAGACCUUGCGCCCCAUUUGCAGUAGUUUUUUUUAUUCGUAUUGUUUUCAUCUUUAUUAUCGUUUCAAUUAAAUUGGACAAAUAGUCAAAUAUUUAUAUCUUCUUGUACAAAAUAUAUUACCUUAUUUUGCUACUACUUCAAAAAAAACAUUUUCCAAAACACUCACAGUUGAAUUAAUUAGAGGAACCAAAAUGCAAUACUUUUAAGUUGCCUAAAUUAAAGCGUAACUACUUCGCGAGUAAAAUCAUAUCCACCACAUAUAUAAUCUUCACCUUGUAAGAAUUGAAACUAGAAGAUAAAUAUAUUUGAAUUACUAAAACUUAAUACUCCCUACUAUUUGAAGAAUGCAAAGAAAAGUAAAAGUCAAAGUAAGGAAAACAUUACUAAAUAGUAACAAGAAAUGGUGAAAUCUUUGAGAGAUCCAUGUGCGUUGUCACGGGUGAGUUUAUAUGCUGUUGCAUCUUGUAUGGUUAAGAAGUUCACAUUAUGUUUCAAUUAAAAAUCGAGUUUUUGUAGCAAAUUAUUCUUCGUGUCUUUAUUUAUACUUUUUGGAAAAAUAUAUUUAAUUUAUAUAUAUAAUAAAUCAUUUAAUGUAAUUACAUAUUUCCGUGUAAUCUUGAUUACUUUUUCACACUCAAUUAUUCAUAUUUAGAAAUUUUGGUGGUUAACUGCAAGUGGACGCAUGCAUCAACAUUUAAAUGGACGGCGGUCGGCGGAUGCAUAUAUUUACUGCGGAAGUAUAUAUUUUCAUGCAUGCAUCAACACCGCAUACAUAUAUAUGAGCAUUUUUCAAAAAAAAAAAAAAUUCGUAAAGUCUUUAUUUCCUUUUUUUUGUGCCUAGACAUUGCUUAGACGUUACAUGUCGUUAAUAUUUGUGAUUUGAUAUUGAAAAAUGAUAAUUGGAAUAGUAGUUCUUUAGUUCGCAUGUUUUUUUAGUUAUCAAAAAGACUCGCGCGUGUGUGUGUGUAUAUAUAUAUAUAUAUAUANUUGUUUUAAUUUAGUAAAUAUACACAGUUCAAUUUUUCGCUUGGUAAAUAUAUCAUCCCCAUACCAUUUCUUUAUUCUAUUAUCAUUUAACCAUUUCCAUUUUUAUUCCUCCAUUAUCAUUUAUUUUUUUACUCUGUACCAAACGAUUAAUAAUGAGAAUAAAAUAUUUUCAUUAAAAAAUUGUUUCCAACAAAUUACGAAAUGUGUUAGAAAAUAUAUGAUUUGUUAGGAAAUUAUGUAGUAUAUUUUUCUCUAGGAUAAGCCUUAACUAAUAAAAUGACGUAGUUUCAUAAGGUUUAAUAAGUAAGUUUAAUUGGGGUUGUAAUAUAUAUAUANNNNNNNNNNNNNNNNNNNNNNNNNNNNNNNNNNNNNNNNNNNNNNNNNNNNUUUUAAUAAAGUCAAUAUAUUUACAUGUUUGUUUAAAUUAACACAAUUCAAUUAUUGUUUGAAGAUGUCAUGGUUUACAAGUUUAACCAUUGAAAUAUUUAUGGUAAAUAUUUUACUAAUUUGAAAAAAUUUCUAUGAAAUAUUUAUAAUUUUUAUCAUACUAUUAGACAGUUUAUUAUAUUUAUCUUUUAUCUUUCAUCUUCGUAUUGCUUCUUAUCUUUAUCAUAGCUUUUGAUUUACUUACUUUAAAGAAAAAAAAUCAAGAAAUAGAUAGAAAAUAAAAUAAAAGAGAGAGGGAAUCAAUAGGACAUGAGGGNNNNNNNNNNNNNNNNNNNNNNNNNNNNNNNNNNNNNNNNNNNNNNNNNNNNNNCAGGAUCGUUGUGCCACAUCAGCUCCACUGCAUGAUGUGGGAUAGGGAUGUGAUUUAGAACCGGAAAACCGGACAGAAACCAAAACCGUUAGAACCAAAAUAUACAAAACCGGUUUCGGUUUCGGUUUCGGGUUUAAAAUUUGACUUUAUCUGGGCUCCGAGUAAUCCGGGUUUGGGUUCAUCGGGUCCGCAUAAACAUAGUCUAAAAACCGGAACCGGUGUUAGGAACUGGAACCACUUUUAGGGACGAAACCGUUUUUUGUGAAACAUUUAAAAGAUACAUAUCUCAUUCAUUUCAACUCCGAUUGACAUGCAGUUUUUCCCAACGUAUAGUUUAGAGUUUGUAGAUGAUUUUAGACUAUAAAUUUGUCAUUUUUAGUUUUAUAUUCAUUAACUUACAUUCCCCCAAAGUCAAGAUAUCAAAGCUGAUAGUUUUUAGUUUUUUCAAAUUUUUUGUAUUGUGUGAAAGUUUUAAAACAUGCAUAUCUAAUUCAUUUAAAGUCAGGUAGACAGGUGGUUUUUUCUAAAUUGUAGUUUACAGUUUGUACAUGAGUUUAUAUUAUAAUCUGUCAUUUUUUGUUUAAUAUGCAAUUAUUUACAGUCCCCCGAAGUCAGGAUAUCAAAACUGAAAAUUUUCAACUUUUCAGAUAUUUGUUUUUGUACUUUGUAUUAUUUGAAAAUGUUAACACAUGCAUAUGUCAUUCGUUUAAAGUUGGAUUGACAUGCGGUUUUUUCCAAAGUGUAGUUUAGAGUUUGUACAUGAUUUUAGAGUAUAUNUUAGUUAUAGACCACCAAAUACGGGAUAUCAACAUGAAAAUUUUCAAAGUUCGACCCACUAAGUAGUAAGUAAGUAUCAAAAAUUUCGGUUUUUCCAGAUUUUUCGGUUUUAAACCCAAUUUAUCCGGUUCAAACGUACCCACUUUGACGUUUCCGAGUUUUCCGGUUCUAGAUUAUGUACUUGUUGAAAUCAGAUCGACACAUAUGAUAAGAUUUGAUGUUGGAAUCUUAAAAUAAAUGCAUAUUUAUUGAAAAUGUUUAUUUUUAUUUUGAAUCACAAGAAUAAAACCUUAGUCACAAUAUGACAGGAUAUCCAAAAUACAAGAGAAGGUGACGAACCUCCUACUGAAAUGAAUACCCUUAAUAUAAUAAAAUACUCAACUCUAAGAGCGAAACACAAAACCAAAUAAGAUCAAAGAGCAUAAAACCAACUCUUUGAAGACAUAUAAAAAUAAUCAAGCAUCUUUAUGCACAUUGAAAGCCCUUUGGGACAUUCUUUCCACAUACAUUAAGCAACAAGCUCAAAGAAACUGGCACAUUAAGGUUGAUACCCAAGACAUUUGCUUUAAUAGCGGUGCAAAGGCAAACUGCAGCCUUAAGAUCGACAAGGUCCCCAAGGAGGCUGCAGCAUGGAGUGGUUGCUGGUGUACCGACGACUAGGUGAACCAAGUCAUUGAGCACGUUUGCACACACACCUAGCUUAAGUGUGUCUUUAGGACAUGUGGCUUUGUGGUGGUGAUGUUUAUGUGGCUUAGGGGCCUUUGGUGGUGGUGGGCAAGAGGUUGAUGUUACAAGAGUAAAGAAGAGAAGAUUGACGGUGAUGAGGAGGAAAGCAGUUGUUGCCAAUCCCCUUGAAGCCAUUUUGAAAUGCUUUGAGGAUGCGAAGGGAAAACUAGC
Molecule: long non-coding RNA, 4170 nt
Filed under: Lactuca sativa (garden lettuce)
Lineage: Eukaryota; Viridiplantae; Streptophyta; Magnoliopsida; Asterales; Asteraceae
Description: long non-coding RNA (LSAT_LNC000905)
Source: RNAcentral